Molecule: non-coding RNA, 71 nt
Organism: Phaethon lepturus (White-tailed tropicbird)
Lineage: Eukaryota; Metazoa; Chordata; Aves; Phaethontiformes; Phaethontidae
Source: Rfam
UGGAAGCUGGUUUCACAUGGUGGCUUAGAUUUUCCCUCUUUGUAUCUAGCACCAUUUGAAAUCAGUGUUCU